Molecule: RNase P RNA, 371 nt
Filed under: Bifidobacteriaceae bacterium
Lineage: Bacteria; Bacillati; Actinomycetota; Actinomycetes; Bifidobacteriales; Bifidobacteriaceae
Description: RNase P RNA component class A
Rfam family: Bacterial RNase P class A
About the family: Ribonuclease P (RNase P) is a ubiquitous endoribonuclease, found in archaea, bacteria and eukarya as well as chloroplasts and mitochondria.
Source: RNAcentral
UGAGUCGGCUGGACGGCCGCGGCGGACUAGAAGGGGCUUCUGGUUCGUCGAGGAAAGUCCGGGCUCCGCAGAGCAGGGUGGUGGGUAACACCCACCCGGGGCGACCCGCGGGAAAGUGCCACAGAAAGCAAACCGCCGGCCAGCGCUACGGCGUUGGCCGGUAAGGGUGAAACGGUGGUGUAAGAGACCACCAGCAUUCAGGGUGACCUGAGUGGCUCGGUAAACCCCACCCGGAGCAAGGCCAGACAGGCGGCGUUUGAGGGCUGCUCGCCCGAGUCGCCGGGUAGGCCGCUUGAGGCCCAUGGCAACAUGGUGCCCAGAUGGAUGGCCGUCUUCAAAGACAGAACCCGGCUUACAGGCCGGCUCAUCCG